UCAUUUUCAGGCUGCAUCGAAAAGUUCACACAUUUUGGCGACCUUGAAACUGGCGCUAAUUGAACGCUAAUCAAGAAGAAGCCGACGGCGGAUGACUGGGCAAGUGCCCAAACCAAAGGGGAAGCUAACCAGAUGCGAUGCCCUGUUAUACCACCAACAGCGAUUGCAGCAGCAGCUGUGUGAGAUGGAGGCUUUGCUGUUCUCCCUUGAAAGUCUAACAGCAAUUAAUUUGUUGACUUACACCAGAAUCAUAAUUAAUUAUACUGCGAUAAAAAAGAACUUUGACAUGGCUAAAGAGAAACUCUAUUAAAAUUCCAUUAUUUUUAUGGAAGCUGUCUAGGCUUAAGGAAAUAGCUCUUCACUCAGCGGAAUUUCCCACAUUCAUUUAAAAAGCAGCAACAGCAGCUAUAUGAUAUGAAGGUUUUGCUAUUCUCCCUGAAAGUCUAUCAGCAAUUAAUUUGUUGACUUAAAUAAUUAUACUACGAGGAAAAGGACGUACACAAAUGCUGGAAAACUUUGACAAGGCUGAAAGCUGAGAACGGAACAAAAAAAUCCCAGUAUUUUGUAUGGAAUCAUGCAUUUCUAUGCUUAAGCAGAUGGCACUUAGCGGAACUUCCCACAUUCAUAUGCUUAAAAAGCAUCAGCAGCUAUAUGAAAUACAGGUUUUGCAAUUCGAACGAAAACGAGAAAAAUCCCAGUAUUUUGUAUGGAUUCAUGUCUAGGCUUAAGGCAAUUCGGAAGGAAAAGAUUGUAAAAAAAAUAACAUAUGCCAAACAAAUAAUCUGUAGUUAUAUGUGUGUACUAAAGAUAUCUAGCUAUAUUAUAAGGAAAUCAGAUUUAAUUAAGUCUAGUUGCGGCAGCCGCUCAGCCGGAACCAAUGUACAAAAGCCUAUAAGAAUCGCGAUACUGAUGUUACUUUAACGCAGAACAAAUUUAACAAAUUUAUUGAAUUCAUGUCAUUUAUAAUUGUUUUGAUGCA
Molecule: long non-coding RNA, 979 nt
Organism: Drosophila novamexicana
Lineage: Eukaryota; Metazoa; Arthropoda; Insecta; Diptera; Drosophilidae
Exons: 4
Source: RefSeq, a predicted model, not a curated record